AAAAGUUACAGCUCUUUCAGAAUUUGUCCAGCAGGUUUUCUGGUUUUACUGGAAAAUACCUCA
This 63-nucleotide small nuclear RNA is filed under the name Rhinopithecus bieti (black snub-nosed monkey). Its description in RNAcentral is "U7 small nuclear RNA (ENSRBIG00000000579.1)". It matches the Rfam family "U7 small nuclear RNA". Rfam says of the family: Animal histone pre-mRNAs are spliced by a different mechanism than nuclear pre-mRNAs and self-splicing introns. This processing involves the U7 snRNP, which contains only one RNA species: U7. The record is from Rfam by way of RNAcentral. Lineage: Eukaryota; Metazoa; Chordata; Mammalia; Primates; Cercopithecidae.